AACGAACGCUGGCGGCAGGCUUAACACAUGCAAGUCGAACGCCCUCUUCGGAGGGAGUGGCAGACGGGUGAGUAACGCGUGGGAACCUACCCAGUAGUACGGAAUAACUCAGGGAAACUUGUGCUAAUACCGUAUACGCCCUACGGGGGAAAGAGUUUAUCGCUAUUGGAUGGGCCCGCGUUGGAUUAGUUUGUUGGUGAGGUAACGGCUCACCAAGGCUACGAUCCAUAGCUGGUCUGAGAGGAUGAUCAGCCACACUGGGACUGAGACACGGCCCAGACUCCUACGGGAGGCAGCAGUGGGGAAUAUUGGACAAUGGGGGAAACCCUGAUCCAGCCAUGCCGCGUGAGUGAAGAAGGCCUUAGGGUUGUAAAGCUCUUUCGCUAGGGAAGAUAAUGACGGUACCUAGUAAAGAAGCCCCGGCUAACUUCGUG
RNAcentral lists this ribosomal RNA (434 nucleotides) under uncultured bacterium. Its description in RNAcentral is "bacterial SSU rRNA". It matches the Rfam family "Bacterial small subunit ribosomal RNA", at positions 29 to 507 of the family's 1533-position model. The record is from RNAcentral.